UCCGGGGUAGCUCAAUUGGCGGAGCAGGGGACUGUUAAUCCCAAGGUUGUGGGUUCGAGUCCCACCCCCGGAG
Molecule: transfer RNA, 73 nt
Filed under: Actinomycetota bacterium
Lineage: Bacteria; Bacillati; Actinomycetota
Description: tRNA-Asn
Rfam family: tRNA
About the family: Transfer RNA (tRNA) molecules are approximately 80 nucleotides in length.
Source: RNAcentral